CUACCAUAAAUGAAGGGUGACAGCAACUCGUCUUUCUCCGUUUAGCUUCAUCAUGGACAGAGAUCAAGAACAGGAAGAAGACGAGGCUGGAUCUGUGCUGCGUUAAUGGCGAAAGCUGGUAAUAAACGCAGUGUGGAGGAGAAGCUGCAAGAUGAAGGGCAUCAUCCUUACGCCUUUCAUGUCUCUGGUCCUCGCAAUUUCGCUGCCCUUAUUUGCAGGGAUCUUCUCAAUCUAGUUGAUCAACACAAUAAGCAGUCUGCGCCUAUAUAUUCCAAAGGAUUUUCUGUCAUUGGAAGCUAGCGGAAACAUGCUGAAGAAAGUGUCAGAAACUCUCUGGAUUUGCUGAAAAAGGGUUGCCCCUUCUAGAUCCUGUAGAGGACAUGAAGAUUCACAGCAGCUCAUACAAAAAGGCAUCCCGGAGAUUAGAGGCCUCGGAGCGGCUGUUUGAGAAGCAUGAAAUCGUAAAAUCUCCAUGUUUGAAGCAAAACUAAAGGCUUUGCGUAAGAAGCAAGAACUGGCUGCAAAGAUAAAGUCAAUUAAGAGAACAUUAAGAAAUUCUACUGCUUUGGCUUUUAGGGAUGAACUUAAGGCAAGAAAGAGAGUUCUUCGAGGGCUAGGAUAUAUUACAAGUGAGAAUGUUGUGGAAUUAAAAGG
Neltuma alba is the source of this 654-nucleotide long non-coding RNA. RefSeq lists it as uncharacterized. NCBI's taxonomy places the organism in Eukaryota, Viridiplantae, Streptophyta, Magnoliopsida, Fabales, Fabaceae. The transcript is spliced from 4 exons. The record is from RefSeq and is a predicted model, not a curated record.